Molecule: ribosomal RNA, 238 nt
Filed under: uncultured bacterium
Lineage: Bacteria
Description: partial 16S ribosomal RNA
Rfam family: Bacterial small subunit ribosomal RNA
Source: RNAcentral
UACGGGGGAUGCAAGCGUUAUCCGGAUUUAUUGGGUUUAAAGGGUGCGUAGGCUGUGAGGUAAGUCAGCGGUGAAAUGCCCCCGCUCAACGGGGUGAAGUGCCAUUGAUACUGCCUUGCUGGAAUGCGGAUGCCGUGGGAGGAAUGUGUGGUGUAGCGGUGAAAUGCAUAGAUAUCACACAGAACACCGAUUGCGAAGGCAGCAUGCCGGCUCCACACUGACGCUGAGGCACGAAAGC